Molecule: ribosomal RNA, 255 nt
Filed under: uncultured bacterium
Lineage: Bacteria
Description: partial 16S ribosomal RNA
Rfam family: Bacterial small subunit ribosomal RNA
Source: RNAcentral
UACGUAGGUGGCGAGCGUUAUCCGGAAUGAUUGGGCGUAAGGGGUGCGUAGGCGGCCUGCUAAGUCUGGAGUGAAAGGUACCGGCUCAACCGGUACGGGCUCUGGAAACUGGCGGGCUAGAGAGCAGGAGAGGGCGGUGGAACUCCAUGUGUAGCGGUAAAAUGCGUAGAUAUAUGGAAGAACACCAGUGGCGAAGGCGGCCGCCUGGCCUGUUGGUACUGACGCUGAGGCACGAAAGCGUGGGGAGCAAAUAGG